UCAAGAGCAGACAUUCAAAAACUGAGUCUGGGACGCUUUCUGAUUCUCGAGCUUCCUCCUUGCAAAGCUCAGGCACAUCACAGACGCUGUGACGCUGCCAUGAUCUUCGGUUACCUCUUCCAAACAACUUCACUGUUGCCGUUUCCCGGCUGUGUGCCGCUGCCUAUGCCAUUCUUUAUGGUGCAGAUUUGCCGUAUUCUCAACGAUCUGUGUUUAUUAUUCCUCUUUUUUUUCUAGAAAAGUUUUAUUCAUCCCUGAUGAAUGCCUACUAACUUUUAAGCACUCACACAGAGAGUUCCAAUGUCUUCCUGGUGAUGCAGAAGUGACUCUAUGUGAUGAUCCUUUCCAGUUUUCUUGAGAUACCUAGGAACAUUGACUGCUUCUGUUCAGAAGCUCAACUGACUCAAAGAAGCAUAUGAAGAGGAGUCCAGGCACCUAAUCCGCAGUCCUGGCUGAAUUCCUAAUUGCCGUCUAGGACCUUGAGUGUACCAUUGUGAAAGUGGAUCUUCAGAUGAGUCACCUUGAUGUACCACAGGGCAGUGAUGACUGUUUCUCCUAAACGACACACAUGCGAGCACACUACAUGAUGCUUCUUUUCAGUUGCUCAUUUUAGUUUAGAUGGUCAUAAAUAAGCAGCCUGUGUUGCACACGAAGUUCAGAUAACAAAGUUUUAAUUUACAAGUCAUACAUACUAUGUUAUCAUCUUUGCUUCAGAGAUGAGAAUAUAGUGUUUAGGUUGAUCUCAGAUGUACAGCUACUGUGUGCAUUUAGCUGGAAAAGGAUAGCUGGAAGAGAGAUCUCUGGGUCUGACAUGAGAAUACACUGGUUGGAAGUCUAUUUCUGUAACUUACUAGUAGGUGAAUCUUAGCAAAAGGCUUAGCUUCCCUAAAUCUGGCUCAUUUCCCUUUUAAGUCUGACUAGAAUUAAUAAGCCUAUGUUAACCUUUCUUUUCUCAUUCAUUCAUUCAUUCAUUCUUGCAUCCAUUUUCACUUAUUUACCAAUGAUUUAUAGAUAAACUGUAUCAAACUGUGUAAGCAGUCAGAAAAUAAAGAUAUGAUACCUGUUUUCUUCUCUUCAUGGAGUCUUCAUAGUUUACUAUGAAAUUAAUGGAAUUAAUGUAUAAUGAAUACAUUGCAAACAGUUCAAUAAAUAUCAUCUUAUGAAUUAGUACAGGGUUGCAUUGUGACAACAGGAGACAUCAGUCAGCUCUGCCUUUGGGUAAUGGGGGAUAGCUCACAGAAUGAGAAACAUCAGAUCUGUGUCUCAAAAGGUGAGUAGACAUCAGCAGGUGGAUAAAGAUCAACAAGGUGUUUCAGACUGGAGAGCAACACAGAGUUAUAAGCACACAAGAAAGCAAGUGUCUGUAGCUAACUGUAAGAACUUGGAAGCUAGAGAGUGACAAACAAGCUUAAAGGCAGCCCAAGGGCAGCUUUGGAGAGCUUCGUGCACUAUGUAGAGGAGGUUGGAUGUUGUACGUACUGGUAAAGGGAACCACCAACGGAAUUAGAUUGUGCCAGGAACAGGCUUGAGUUGAAAUUUAGAAAGCACCGGAACAACAGAGAACAGGGAGAGCAGAAGGGGAAUGCAAAGCAGGAUGCUUGCAAUCUGUGCCGCAUGCACCUUCAAAAGCUCAAUAGAGGGUUGAUGGAGGUCUGAGCCAGGGUAGGAGCAAGGGGUAAAGGGGGAGCUGUUUGUGUCAGACAUAUUUAAGGGACAGAAAAGACAGAAUUUCAAACCAGGCCCUUGAACAGAUGCAAAGAUCCAGUCCAAUCCUCUAUGCUCAAUGAUAAAACACCCACUCUGCAAAUAUUUAACUCUGAGAUUUGUAUCACAAAAUAUCUUAUAUACAAUCCCCAAAGAAAGCAUAUAAAAUGCACUUU
Molecule: long non-coding RNA, 1880 nt
Organism: Peromyscus maniculatus bairdii (prairie deer mouse)
Lineage: Eukaryota; Metazoa; Chordata; Mammalia; Rodentia; Cricetidae
Source: RefSeq, a predicted model, not a curated record